RNAcentral lists this ribosomal RNA (781 nucleotides) under Brachybacterium paraconglomeratum. RNAcentral's name for it is "bacterial SSU rRNA". It matches the Rfam family "Bacterial small subunit ribosomal RNA", at positions 65 to 855 of the family's 1533-position model. The record is from RNAcentral. Lineage: Bacteria; Bacillati; Actinomycetota; Actinomycetes; Micrococcales; Dermabacteraceae.
AACGAUGACGACCGUGCUUGCACGGUCUGAUUAGUGGCGAACGGGUGAGUAACACGUGAGUAACCUGCCCCUCACUUCGGGAUAACCUCGGGAAAUCGUGGCUAAUACCGGAUAUGAGCUUCCAUCGCAUGAUGGGGGCUGGAAAGAUUUAUCGGUGGGGGAUGGACUCGCGGCCUAUCAGUUUGUUGGUGAGGUGAUGGCUCACCAAGACGAUGACGGGUAGCCGGCCUGAGAGGGCGACCGGCCACACUGGGACUGAGACACGGCCCAGACUCCUACGGGAGGCAGCAGUGGGGAAUAUUGCACAAUGGGCGAAAGCCUGAUGCAGCGACGCCGCGUGGGGGAUGACGGCCUUCGGGUUGUAAACCCCUUUCAGUAGGGAAGAAGCGAGAGUGACGGUACCUGCAGAAGAAGCGCCGGCUAACUACGUGCCAGCAGCCGCGGUAAUACGUAGGGCGCAAGCGUUGUCCGGAAUUAUUGGGCGUAAAGAGCUCGUAGGUGGCUUGUCGCGUCUGCCGUGAAAACCCGAGGCUCAACCUCGGGCGUGCGGUGGGUACGGGCAGGCUAGAGUGUGGUAGGGGAGACUGGAACUCCUGGUGUAGCGGUGAAAUGCGCAGAUAUCAGGAAGAACACCGAUGGCGAAGGCAGGUCUCUGGGCCAUUACUGACACUGAGGAGCGAAAGCAUGGGUAGCGAACAGGAUUAGAUACCCUGGUAGUCCAUGCCGUAAACGUUGGGCACUAGGUGUGGGGGACAUUCCACGUUUUCCGCGCCGUAGCUAA